This 336-nucleotide unclassified non-coding RNA is filed under the name soil metagenome. RNAcentral's name for it is "partial contains 5.8S ribosomal RNA, internal transcribed spacer 2, and large subunit ribosomal RNA". The stretch from base 1 to 120 matches the Rfam family "5.8S ribosomal RNA", at positions 35 to 154 of the family's 154-position model. The record is from RNAcentral.
GAUGAAGAACGCAGCGAAAUGCGAUAAGUAAUGUGAAUUGCAGAAUUCAGUGAAUCAUCGAAUCUUUGAACGCACAUUGCGCCCGCCAGUAUUCUGGCGGGCAUGCCUGUUCGAGCGUCAUUUCAACCAUCAAGCCCCCGGCUUGUGUUGGGGACCUGCGGCUGCCGCAGGCCCUGAAAACCAGUGGCGGGCUCGCUAGUCACUCCGAGCGUAGUAGUUACAUCUCGCUCAGGGCGUGCUGCGGGUUCCGGCCGUUAAAAGCCUUAUUUACCCAAGGUUGACCUCGGAUCAGGUAGGAAGACCCGCUGAACUUAAGCAUAUCCAAUAAGCGGAGGA